GCAUUGGUGGUUCAGCAGUAGAAUUCUCGCCUUGCAUGUGGGUAUCAUGAGCUCGAAUCUCAUCAAUGUG
RNAcentral lists this transfer RNA (70 nucleotides) under Loxodonta africana (African savanna elephant). It matches the Rfam family "tRNA". Rfam says of the family: Transfer RNA (tRNA) molecules are approximately 80 nucleotides in length. Their secondary structure includes four short double-helical elements and three loops (D, anti-codon, and T loops). Further hydrogen bonds mediate the characteristic L-shaped molecular structure. tRNAs have two regions of fundamental functional importance: the anti-codon, which is responsible for specific mRNA codon recognition, and the 3' end, to which the tRNAs corresponding amino acid is attached (by aminoacyl-tRNA synthetases). tRNAs cope with the degeneracy of the genetic code in two manners: having more than one tRNA (with a specific anti-codon) for a particular amino acid; and 'wobble' base-pairing, i.e. permitting non-standard base-pairing at the 3rd anti-codon position. The record is from Rfam by way of RNAcentral. Lineage: Eukaryota; Metazoa; Chordata; Mammalia; Proboscidea; Elephantidae.